Molecule: ribosomal RNA, 503 nt
Filed under: uncultured bacterium
Lineage: Bacteria
Description: partial 16S ribosomal RNA
Rfam family: Bacterial small subunit ribosomal RNA
Source: RNAcentral
AUUGAACGCUGGCGGCAGGCUUAACACAUGCAAGUCGAGCGGAGUGAUGGUGCUUGCACUAUCACUUAGCGGCGGACGGGUGAGUAAUGCUUAGGAAUCUGCCUAUUAGUGGGGGACAACAUCUCGAAAGGGAUGCUAAUACCGCAUACGUCCUACGGAAGAAAGCAGGGGAUCACUUGUGACCUUGCGCUAAUAGAUGAGCCUAAGUCGGAUUAGCUAGUUGGUGGGGUAAAGGCCUACCAAGGGGACGAUCUGUAGCGGGUCUGAGAGGAUGAUCCGCCACACUGGGACUGGGACACGGCCCAGACUCCUACGGGAGGCAGCAGUGGGGAAUAUUGGACAAUGGGGGGAACCCUGAUCCAGCCAUGCCGCGUGUGUGAAGAAGGCCUUAUGGUUGUAAAGCACUUUAAGCGAGGAGGAGGCUCUUUUGGUUAAUACCCAAGAUGAGUGGACGUUACUCGCAGAAUAAGCACCGGCUAACUCUGUGCCAGCCGCCGCGGUAA